GACGAACCGGACAAACGUUAUUCGGAAUCAUUGGGCUUAAAGGGUGCGUAGGCGGUGCUGUAAGUCGGGUGUGAAAUGCCUCAGCUCAACUGAGGAAUUGCGCCCGAUACUGCGGUGCUUGAGGGAGACAGAGGUAAGCGGAACUGAUGGUGGAGCGGUGAAAUGCGUUGAUAUCAUCAGGAACACCAGUGGCGAAAGCGGCUUACUGGGUCUCUUCUGACGCUGAGGCACGAAAGCUAGGGUAGCAAACGGG
RNAcentral lists this ribosomal RNA (253 nucleotides) under uncultured bacterium. RNAcentral's name for it is "partial 16S ribosomal RNA". It matches the Rfam family "Bacterial small subunit ribosomal RNA", at positions 524 to 776 of the family's 1533-position model. The record is from RNAcentral.